Molecule: transfer-messenger RNA, 389 nt
Filed under: bovine gut metagenome
Rfam family: transfer-messenger RNA
About the family: Bacterial tmRNA, also known as 10Sa RNA or SsrA, is named for its dual tRNA and mRNA-like properties. Its role is to liberate the mRNA from a stalled ribosome.
Source: RNAcentral
GGGGAUGUUUUGGAUUAGACAGGAUGUUCCGAUUGAGGCAGAUUGCGAGUCCGAGCGCUGUUCUCGGUUAUCAACGAGCAACACAAAUUAAAUGCUAACGUUGUAAAAGGCAACUUCGCACCUAGAUACGCUCUAGCUGCUUAGUUAUUUAGCUACUCAUAUUGCCCAGCUUGCCGGUGGUAUGGGUCAAUUAUGCAAGACGCAGUGCGGUAAUGACGGUAACCGCAUCAAGUUAACCGUUAGAGGUUUAGAGUUUCCUUUAAAUAAAACCUAGGGCUGAGUUAUAAGGUAGUGAUUUAUCCCGACUCAGUUGAGCGAAUGAAAAUCUACACUCGUAGAGGUUUGUUUUAAUCCAUUUUGGACAGGGGUUCGACUCCCCUCAUCUCCAU